GUCCCUAUCGUCUAGAGGCCUAGGACAUCGCCAUUUCACGGCGGUAACCGGGGUUCGAAUCCCCGUAGGGACGCCA
RNAcentral lists this transfer RNA (76 nucleotides) under Acinetobacter baumannii. Its description in RNAcentral is "tRNA-Glu". It matches the Rfam family "tRNA". Rfam says of the family: Transfer RNA (tRNA) molecules are approximately 80 nucleotides in length. Their secondary structure includes four short double-helical elements and three loops (D, anti-codon, and T loops). Lineage: Bacteria; Pseudomonadati; Pseudomonadota; Gammaproteobacteria; Moraxellales; Moraxellaceae. The record is from RNAcentral.